AGUGAACGCUGGCGGCAGGCCUAAUACAUGCAAGUCGAACGGCAGCACAGCAGAGCUUGCUCUGUGGGUGGCGAGUGGCGGACGGGUGAGGAAUACAUGGGAAUCUGCCCAGUCGUGGGGGAUAACGUAUGGAAACGUACGCUAAUACCGCAUGCGCCCUAAGGGGGAAAGCCGGGGACCGCAAGGCCUGGCGCGAUUGGAUGAGCCCAUGUUCGAUUAGCUAGUUGGCGGGGUAAAGGCCCACCAAGGCGACGAUCGAUAGCUGGUCUGAGAGGAUGAUCAGCCACACUGGAACUGAGACACGGUCCAGACUCCUACGGGAGGCAGCAGUAGGGAAUAUUGGACAAUGGGGGCAACCCUGAUCCAGCCAUGCCGCGUGAGUGAAGAAGGCCCUCGGGUUGUAAAGCUCUUUUGUCCGGAAGAAAGCAAUCGGUUAAUACCCGGUUGUCCUGACGGUACCGGAAGAAUAAGCACCGGCUAACUUCGUGCCAGC
RNAcentral lists this ribosomal RNA (493 nucleotides) under uncultured bacterium. RNAcentral describes it as "bacterial SSU rRNA". It matches the Rfam family "Bacterial small subunit ribosomal RNA", at positions 29 to 512 of the family's 1533-position model. The record is from RNAcentral.